Molecule: small RNA, 447 nt
Filed under: Drosophila pseudoobscura pseudoobscura
Lineage: Eukaryota; Metazoa; Arthropoda; Insecta; Diptera; Drosophilidae
Description: GA32297
Source: RNAcentral
CAUAAUUCAUUCACUAUACUUACUGUUUCAGGACUACUCCAGGAAUAUUUAUGUAGCAGCGUUUAUCCUCCCGGUUGUGUAGUGUUGUGUAACGCGUGCCCCAGUACCUAACCGGUUCACUAAUUUGCUGCUGUUCGACCACACACUGCUGCACUGGUUCCAGAAAGGCCAAAGUUCAGAAAGCGCUGUGACCGUGGGUUCGCGAUGGCGGGAUCGUCUUCGGAGUGGCCCACAUCUAUCUGCACAUCUGCAUUGCUUGUUCCUCAUUGUAUCGGCUCUGAAACGCACUUUGGGGCAUUUCGACUUUGUAUGCUUCAAAAAUCAUUAAUCACGUUUUGGCAAUACAAAAAAGGCGUCACGCUCGAACUAACAUACAUGAAUACAUCUUAUUAGAAUACCAUGCCCAUGCCUCACCCUAUAUAAAUAUACCUUGCGCAAGUCUCAUUG